AGUGAACGCUGGCGGUAGGCCUAACACAUGCAAGUCGAACGGCAGCACAGUAAGAGCUUGCUCUUACGGGUGGCGAGUGGCGGACGGGUGAGGAAUACAUCGGAAUCUACUUUUUCGUGGGGGAUAACGUAGGGAAACUUACGCUAAUACCGCAUACGACCUACGGGUGAAAGCAGGGGAUCUUCGGACCUUGCGCGAUUGAAUGAGCCGAUGUCGGAUUAGCUAGUUGGCGGGGUAAAGGCCCACCAAGGCGACGAUCCGUAGCUGGUCUGAGAGGAUGAUCAGCCCCCCUGGAACUGAGACACGGUCCAGACUCCUACGGGAGGCAGCAGUGGGGAAUAUUGGACAAUGGGCGCAAGCCUGAGCCAGCCAUACCGCGUGGGUGAAGAAGGCCUUCGGGUUGUAAAGCCCUUUUGUUGGGAAAGAAAAGCAGCAGGUUAAUACCCCGCUGUUCUGACGGUACCCAAAGAAUAAGCACCGGCUAACUUCGUGC
RNAcentral lists this ribosomal RNA (493 nucleotides) under uncultured bacterium. RNAcentral's name for it is "partial 16S ribosomal RNA". It matches the Rfam family "Bacterial small subunit ribosomal RNA", at positions 29 to 508 of the family's 1533-position model. The record is from RNAcentral.